GUCUUGACCUUUAUAAACUUCACCAGCUAUAUCAGAUACAACCCCACAGAGAAUCCUUAAAACGGGCAUAAAAUCCUCCCUUCGAAGGCAAUCAAGAAAUUGGAUUUUCAGAUUGACUUGAACUUGAGGAAGUAACUUGGGCCACACGUUUUGAACUUUAACACAACUGAGGACAAGCACGGAAUUUGCACGGGUGUCAAUUUUAGAGGAAAACCUAAGAAGGUAUAAAAGCUUUAAAAAAAGAAGACAUAGGAAGUGAUCUUUAGAACAGCGGAGGAGAUUAUAGGCAUGGGUUCUUCGUCGUUCUUGAGGAGAAAACAGAAAAGAGAAGAGGUUUUCCAUUGGUUUGACAUCAUUGG
This 359-nucleotide unclassified non-coding RNA is filed under the name Hevea brasiliensis (rubber tree). Lineage: Eukaryota; Viridiplantae; Streptophyta; Magnoliopsida; Malpighiales; Euphorbiaceae. The record is from RNAcentral.